GAUGAACGCUGGCGGCGUGCCUAAUACAUGCAAGUCGAGCGAACAGACGAGGAGCUUGCUCCUCUGACGUUAGCGGCGGACGGGUGAGUAACACGUGGAUAACCUACCUAUAAGACUGGGAUAACUUCGGGAAACCGGAGCUAAUACCGCAUAAUAUAUUGAACCGCAUGGUUCAAUAGUGAAAGACGGUUUUGCUGUCACUUAUAGAUGGAUCCGCGCCGCAUUAGCUAGUUGGUAAGGUAACGGCUUACCAAGGCGACGAUGCGUAGCCGACCUGAGAGGGUGAUCAGCCACACUGGAACUGAGACACGGUCCAGACUCCUACGGGAGGCAGCAGUAGGGAAUCUUCCGCAAUGGGCGAAAGCCUGACGGAGCAACGCCGCGUGAGUGAUGAAGGUCUUCGGAUCGUAAAACUCUGUUAUUAGGAAAGAACAAAUGUGGAAGUAACUAUGCACGUCUUGACGGUACCCAAUGAGAAAGCCACGGCUAACUACGUG
RNAcentral lists this ribosomal RNA (497 nucleotides) under uncultured bacterium. RNAcentral describes it as "partial 16S ribosomal RNA". It matches the Rfam family "Bacterial small subunit ribosomal RNA", at positions 28 to 507 of the family's 1533-position model. The record is from RNAcentral.